GCAGUUGUUUUUUUUAAUUCAUUUUUUUUAUAUAUAUACAUAUAUUUAGAUUUGCACAUUUUUUUUCAUAACUAACUACCCUGAUUUUUCCUAAACCCUGACAAUUUCGCCAUAAACUCUAAAUUUCAAACCUAAAACUUUAACCGUGUUGUUUCCUCUAAACCAUAAACCUUUUCUUAAACCUUAACAAACCUUAUUAUUAUUUCCUAUUUUCGCUCAUAUUUAUGUUAUUCAUACACUGUAACUGCUUCGCCCUUGUAAU
Molecule: long non-coding RNA, 262 nt
Filed under: Lathyrus oleraceus (garden pea)
Lineage: Eukaryota; Viridiplantae; Streptophyta; Magnoliopsida; Fabales; Fabaceae
Description: Pisum sativum (pea) long non-coding RNA (PSAT_LNC006305)
Source: RNAcentral